RNAcentral lists this ribosomal RNA (463 nucleotides) under uncultured bacterium. RNAcentral's name for it is "bacterial SSU rRNA". It matches the Rfam family "Bacterial small subunit ribosomal RNA", at positions 29 to 533 of the family's 1533-position model. The record is from RNAcentral.
AACGAACGCUGGCGGCAUGCCUAACACAUGCAAGUCGAACGAGACCUUCGGGUCUAGUGGCGCACGGGUGCGUAACGCGUGGGAAUCUGCCCCUUGGUUCGGAAUAACAGCGAGAAAUUGCUGCUAAUACCGGAUAAUGACGUAAGUCCAAAGAUUUAUCGCCAAGGGAUGAGCCCGCGUAGGAUUAGCUAGUUGGUGUGGUAAAGGCGCACCAAAGCGACGAUCCUUAGCUGGUCUGAGAGGAUGAUCAGCCACACUGGGACUGAGACACCGGCCCAGACUCCUACGGGAGGCAGCAGUGGGGAAUAUUGGACAAUGGGCGAAAGCCUGAUCCAGCAAUGCCGCGUGAGUGAUGAAGGCCUUAGGGUUGUAAAGCUCUUUUACCCGGGAUGAUAAUGACAGUACCGGGAGAAUAAGACUCCGGCUAACUCCGUCGCCAGCAGCCGCGGUAAUGUGACUACUG